AUGGCUGUCGUCAGCUCGUGAUGGCCGGCAAGCACCUUUUGCCAAUCGUCCGUGAUUCUGGGCUCGCCUAGAUCAACGUCGACCUCGACAUCUGCCGCCACAACGGGGUGGAGACGUUUGCUGUUGAGUUUUGAGAGACCGGCUGCUAAUGCAGGCGGUAUUUCUCGUUGGACGAGCUGAGCUCGUGCGCACCUUGAAAACUCCAUAGCUGCGAAAUUAUGAGUUCUUCACGAUCAAGAGAAUAAGGGCACACGGUGGAUGCCUUGGCGCCAAGAGCCGAAGAAGGACGUGGGCGGCUGCGAUAAGCUCGGGUGAGGUGCUGACCAACCUUUGACCCCGAGAUUUCCGAAUGGGGAAACCCGG
Molecule: unclassified non-coding RNA, 363 nt
Filed under: uncultured Pseudomonadota bacterium
Lineage: Bacteria; Pseudomonadati; Pseudomonadota
Description: uncultured proteobacterium partial contains 16S ribosomal RNA, 16S-23S ribosomal RNA intergenic spacer, and 23S ribosomal RNA
Rfam family: Bacterial large subunit ribosomal RNA (bases 232-363)
Source: RNAcentral